RNAcentral lists this ribosomal RNA (401 nucleotides) under uncultured Alphaproteobacteria bacterium. Its description in RNAcentral is "bacterial SSU rRNA". It matches the Rfam family "Bacterial small subunit ribosomal RNA", at positions 8 to 437 of the family's 1533-position model. The record is from RNAcentral. Lineage: Bacteria; Pseudomonadati; Pseudomonadota; Alphaproteobacteria.
AGAGUUUGAUCCUGGCUCAGAACGAACGCUGGCGGCAGGCCUAACACAUGCAAGUCGAGCGCACCCUUCGGGGCGAGCGGCGGACGGGUUAGUAACGCGUGGGAAUGUACCCUUCUCUACGGAAUAGCCUCGGGAAACUGAGAGUAAUACCGUAUACGCCCUUUGGGGGAAAGAUUUAUCGGAGAAGGAUCAGCCCGCGUAAGAUUAGAUAGCUGGUGGGGUAAUGGCCUACCAAGUCUACGAUCUUUAGCUGGUUUUAGAGGAUGAUCAGCAACACUGGGACUGAGACACGGCCCAGACUCCUACGGGAGGCAGCAGUGGGGAAUCUUGGACAAUGGGCGCAAGCCUGAUCCAGCCAUGCCGCGUGUGUGAUGAAGGCCCUAGGGUCGUAAAGCACUUUC